GGAGGAUUAGUCAAGCUGGAGAGCAACCUGCCUUAACAACAGGGGUCGGCGUUCGAUCCCGUCAUCCUCCACCA
This 74-nucleotide transfer RNA is filed under the name Bacillus sp. UFRGS-B20. RNAcentral's name for it is "tRNA-Leu". Lineage: Bacteria; Bacillati; Bacillota; Bacilli; Caryophanales; Bacillaceae. The record is from RNAcentral.